RNAcentral lists this ribosomal RNA (253 nucleotides) under uncultured bacterium. Its description in RNAcentral is "partial 16S ribosomal RNA". It matches the Rfam family "Bacterial small subunit ribosomal RNA", at positions 524 to 776 of the family's 1533-position model. The record is from RNAcentral.
UACAGAGGGGGCAAGCGUUGUUCGGAAUUACUGGGCGUAAAGGGCGCGUAGGCGGCCUGUUAAGUCGAACGUGAAAUCCCCGGGCUCAACCCGGGAACUGCGCCCGAUACUGGCAGGCUUGAAUUCGGGAGAGGGAUGUGGAAUUCCAGGUGUAGCGGUGAAAUGCGUAGAUAUCUGGAGGAACACCGGUGGCGAAGGCGGCAUCCUGGACCGAUAUUGACGCUGAGGCACGAAAGCGUGGGUAGCAAACAGG